UAACUGGAGAGUUUGAUCCUGGCUCAGGACGCACGCUGGCGGCGUGCUUAAUACAUGCAAGUCGAACGUGUACUUUCGGGUACAAGUGGCGCACGGGUGAGUAACGCGUAGAUGAUCUACCCUUGAGAUUGAGAUAACCUUGGGAAACUGGGGCUAAUACCGAACAACGCACAUCUGUUGGUUCAGAUGUGUUAAAGUGGCGCAAGUCACGCUUGAGGAUGAGUCUGCGGCCUAUCAGUUAGUUGGUGGGGUAACGGCCUACCAAGACGAAGACGGGUAGCUGAUCUGAGAGGAUGAUCAGCC
Molecule: ribosomal RNA, 303 nt
Filed under: bacterium
Lineage: Bacteria
Description: partial 16S ribosomal RNA
Rfam family: Bacterial small subunit ribosomal RNA
Source: RNAcentral